RNAcentral lists this ribosomal RNA (274 nucleotides) under uncultured bacterium. Its description in RNAcentral is "partial 16S ribosomal RNA". It matches the Rfam family "Bacterial small subunit ribosomal RNA", at positions 523 to 796 of the family's 1533-position model. The record is from RNAcentral.
CUACGGAGGGUGCAAGCGUUAUCCGGAAUCAUUGGGUUUAAAGGGUCCGUAGGCGGGCGAUUAAGUCAGAGGUGAAAUCCCACAGCUCAACUGUGGAACUGCCUUUGAUACUGGUUGUCUUGAGUUACAGUGAAGUAGAUAGAAUGUGUAGUGUAGCGGUGAAAUGCAUAGAUAUUACACAGAAUACCGAUUGCGAAGGCAGUCUACUAACUGUAUACUGACGCUAAUGGACGAAAGCGUGGGGAGCGAACAGGAUUAGAAACCCCAGUAGUCC